AUUGACAUAAGUAGCUGGCCAUCAACAUUUACUAACAUAUUCUAUUGAAAAUAACUUUGCUUUGGAUUAAAAAUAUGUAAACUAAGUAAUUAAAUUGUUAUUCAAAUUGUUUUUACUUCACAUAUCGCAUACGUGAAAGGAAAGUUCCAAAUCAGUAAACGGUUUAAUAUACUUACGGUAACACACGUCCAUAAGUCCAUGCGAGUACAAACAUACGCACAUAUACAUAUAUGUGUACAUAUGUGCAUACAUGUACAAAUAUACAUAUAUGUAUACCAUUUAAGUAAUAUUAUGUUUUACAAAUCCUUGUGUCUCUCUUGAUUUUCAUGGUCGUGGGAGUUUCACUUCCGAGCCUUUCGGCUGUUGUCAACCCUAACGUGAAAACACCAUUUACUUAUACACAUGUACUUAAAUACGAAGCAGCACCAAAGUGUACCAAAAUUAAUUAUAAAAUCUUAACAACAUAAUCAAAAUAAAACAAUGACUAAAUUCACCCUAAUAAACCCCAAUAAUUAUUACCAAUCACACAAGUCUUAAUUAAGAAAUUUUUAAAUAUUGUAUUUAAACAGUUGUCAUCCAUUUGUUCAUCUGGCCCAUGGCCUAUCUAAACUCCCAAUGUUGUAUAUUAACAUAUAUCUGCACUAAAAUCAUAUAAUUCCUAACAUUCACAAGUUUUAGGAAACACAAUCGUCAAGGGGUACCCGGGACUAUAUUCUCAUUAAACUAAGAGUGAAUUUUAUUUAUUCCCUAUAUAAAAAUGAGUAAUGUACAUUUACAUGUACAAAUAUGUACAUAUACGAUAACAUACUACAAUAUGUAUGUAUGUUCUGUAGAGUGUUACUGCUGAGUGCAAAUAAUCUGGAGUUACGCUUGCAUAAUCAUUUUUCGGAUUGAAAAUGUGUAUGCACCUACAUAUGUAAUAGGGAAGAUACAUACAUACAUAUGAACAUACAUUUGGAACAUACAUGGGACAUACAUAUAUACAAAAAGUGGAAAUAUAUGUCUUAAACAUUAAUCAGGACAUCAGGUUUGUAAUUUUUUUUCAGAUAUGGCGAGCAUAAUAUUAAUAGCAUGCCUUGCUAUAUUGGGACUAAUCAUUGCAAUAGCUUUGUUUCUCGCGGGUGGGUAUUUGUGGUGGAGACACAAAAGAUCGCAGUUGCAGUUUAUUGAGCCCAACGAAGACGAAGAGUCUAGUAGUUACAGUCUAAGGUGAGUCGUAUCACAAAAAUUGUUUUAUUUUAGUUUUUUUAGAGGUGUUCUACAAAUGCCAACUACAUACAUACAUAUGUACGUACAUAUUUAUUUACAUAUGAAGAAUAUUUAGUUCGCUUUUAUUAGCUAUAUUAUUAGUUUUUAUACUCGGUACUCGAAGAGUAAAUAUAUAAAUAUAUAUAUAUAGGUAUAUAUAAAUAUAUACCCUAUAUUGUAAUUGUGGGAAAAAGUGGAUGCAUGUAACGCACAGAAGGAAACGUUUCCGACCAUAUAAAGUAUAAAUACAUAUGUUCUUGAUCAGCAUCAAUAGCCUAGUCGAUUUAGACAUGUCUGUCUGUCCGUCCAAAACCAAGUUUAGCUCAAAGCGCGUGAGAAGAGAUGUAUGUAUGUAGAAAAUCUUCAAAAUUGUGGUUACCUCAGAUUUUCGAACUUUAGGUGGACGGAAGGGGGCGGGGCGAAAUUUUGAAAUAGACUAGUAACAGUGUGAGCCUUCAGACAUCUGGAUGCAAAACUUGGUUGCCUUAUCUCUUAUGGUAUCUGAGUACUAGGCGCUCAUAAGGACGGACAGACAGACGUGGCCAUAGCGACUCGCCUAUUGAUGCUGAUCAAGAAAAUAUAUACUUUAUACACGUAACAUACAUAUGUUAAUCCACUCUGGACCACAAAUACAAUAAACCCUGUUUACUCUUCGAAUACCGGGUAUAAAAGCAGUAAAGUACAGAUAUACUGACUGAGUACCGGGUAUAAAAGUUUUGACGCGUAAGAAGCGUCUCACUCGUUCCUACUCGUUUUUGUUAUAGUUUGCAAAGUAAAUAUUUGUGAUAGACAAAUUUUAUGAUGUUCAAAACCAAUUAAUAGAACCGUUUACUAACAAUACUUUAUUUGUUAUUGCAUGUACAGAGCGGCUCAGGACAUUGAUUCCGGAAAUCCGCCUAGUAAACCACCAGUGCCGGUUGCACCAGCGAUUACAACUCCUCUUCAAAAUAACAUCAAUCGAAAAUUGAAUGGAUUCUUAAGCCUUAGGACUCCUCUAAUUGGGUAUGUCUCUGUUUGUGUGUUCAUUGUUUCCAUCGAUUUCAAAUACCGAAUAGAUUAAACUACUCGACAAAAUCAAUCUUUUAAAAAAUGUACCUGUUGGAGGAUGGCGCUCCCAACUUUCAGAGUAUUUUUGGCUUCAGACUCUAAAAAGAAGUUCUUCCAAGGAAAAAUAGUAUUAUCAAACCAUUUCUAAGCCCCAUAUCUUUCAUAAAACGUUUUUCUGGAUCGAAGCCUCAAAAUCGUGUGGAGUAGUGUUAUUAGCGCUUAUAUAUGUUCAUAUAUCUAUUAUUGUAUUAUUGUAUGUUUUAUUCCUACUACUAUCUUCCCAAUGUAUUUACAAAUUCAUAUUUUUUAGUGGCUCGGCACCUACGCAAACCAAAGCACAAAAUGCUUCUACCGGGGGAAAUACAAAUGAUGGUACCUCAAAAGAUUCGGCGGUAAGCAGAAGUCAGACCCUCUCUCUUAUCAUAGUAAUUGUAGAACAGAAAUAACAGAUCAAAUGUCAAAGAACACCACAGGUGUCUCAGUUAUUUUAUUUAUUAUAUACACACUUCUCUCCAUCUUAGAAUAAAAGUAUUUCCAUGACAGACAUGUACCUGGACAGCACGGAUUCCAGUGAAAAUGUCGGGCAAAUACAUUUCUCUUUGGAAUAUGAUUUUCAAAAUACAACAUUAAUUUUAAAAGUUCUUCAAGGAAAAGAACUGCCAGCUAAAGAUUUAAGUGGGACUUCGGACCCUUAUGUUCGUGUAACCUUGCUUCCAGACAAGAAACACCGAUUGGAAACAAAAAUAAAACGUAGAACAUUAAAUCCGCGAUGGAACGAAACAUUUUAUUUUGAGGGAUUUCCGAUACAAAAACUUCAGUCACGUGUGAGAAUAAUUAAUAUUAUCUUUCUCUACAUGAUCUUUAAAUACUUAUAAUAAUAAAUCGACAUUAACAUAAAAUUGAUACAGGUAUUACACUUACAUGUUUUUGAUUACGACCGGUUCUCACGGGAUGACUCUAUAGGAGAAGUAUUUCUUCCUUUAUGUCAGGUAAACAUUUUAAAUUCAUCUGAACCAAAACUCUGUAUACUUUGUAUUUUAUUUUGUUUAUAAAGCUCUCACAUACCGUUUACAUUUAUGUUACUACUUACAUGUUUCCACAAAACAGUUUUUAAAAUUUCUAUUUCAAAAUUCAAUUAAAAUAUUUAAACCAAAUUGUAACAGGCUAAGCUUUAAAUCAUAAAUAUUCAUGUAUAUGUAUAUAUGUAUGUACAUACAUGUACUUAAACACUUUGUCUUCUUAGGUUGAUUUUGCCGGUAAGCAGUCAUUUUGGAAGGCAUUAAAACCACCAGCAAAGGAUAAAUGUGGGGAACUUCUGUCAUCGCUUUGCUAUCACCCCUCAAACUCUAUUUUGACGUUGACAUUAAUCAAAGCGAGGAACCUAAAAGCUAAGGAUAUAAACGGAAAAUCAGGAAAGAAUUAUUCUCGCGCAAGAUUGAAAAUAAUAUAAAAUAAACUUUGUCUUUUAAUUAAAUUCCUCUUUUGACGUGUUCGGUAACCAAUGUUUUUUUUCAAUUAACUUUAGAUCCCUAUGUUAAAGUUUGGCUACAGUUUGGAGACAAGCGAGUGGAGAAAAGAAAAACACCUAUAUUUACAUGUACAUUAAAUCCAGUGUUUAAUGAAUCAUUCAGUUUCAACGUUCCAUGGGAAAAAAUAAGAGAAUGCUCUUUGGAUGUUAUGGUGAUGGAUUUUGAUAACAUUGGCCGGAAUGAGUUAAUAGGACGAAUCCUAUUAGCCGGUAAGAGCAAUUGUCAAUUAAUUGACAACACAAAAUAUUAAAAUAUUUUUGUUUUUCCACAAAUAUUGUACAUAUGUAUUUAGGAAAGAAUGGUUCUGGGGCGUCGGAAACUAAACAUUGGCAGGACAUGAUCUCAAAGCCCAGACAAACAGUAGUACAAUGGCAUCGCUUAAAACCUGAAUAAAUUUAAGAUUUAACAAUCAAUUUCAGCAUAUGAUAACAACAGUGUAUGUAUUUAUAUAUAUGUAUGUACCACUAUCAUUCCAUAUGCAAAAACACACACAAUUAGCAGUAUUUAAUACAGUCUGCAGAAAACAUAAGUAUAAUCGCAUUGCGCAUUGGUUGGAUAUUUGAAAUUUAAUACCGAGCGGGAUACUACAGAAAAUUUAUCUAACUUCACUAAUUGCUCUAAGGUUUCAAAGCCUCAAAAACCUCUAUGAGCAAUACUCAGUUUUAUAAUUACUUGUCUAACUUUAUAUAUGUAUGUACACGGGUUAUAGUAUUUGUAUUUGUGCAUGCAUGUACUUAUAAAUACCCUUCUGGGUUCUGAUUAUUGUUUACAGUAUAUCAAGGUUCGUUGAAUUGUCUUUAAAUUAAUAUUCAUUUUCAAUUGCAUGAAAAAGAAGCUCGGUAAAGAUCCAUCGAACUGAAUUCUUUGUUUAAAAGGGGUAAUAAUUUGUCCUAAUAAGCUAAAUUAAUGAUUGAUAGCAAUAAUAAUAACAAUUGUUUCAUCAAUUUGUAAUACAGAAAUAGACCCACAAAAACUAAAUAAAUAUAUUAAAAUGUAUAUAAUACAAUUGAAUUGUUAAAUAUAUUAGAUUAAAAUAAUCUAAUAAACUCGUAAAACGACAUUGUUACAAGUUACAUAAAGCGAAUUGUUGUUUCUUUUACAAUAAAAGAAUAUUAAAGUACGAUAGAGGUCAUAUUAAUUUUAAAUAUAGUUUUAUCACAAAGUAAAACAUAUGAUAGGGCUAUAGAUACUUGAUUAGAGAAGUGGAUGCAUUAAAAGAAUACAAAAGUAAACAUUUUUAAUAGAAACUAUAAAACAAAUUAGCCAACCAUUGCCGGAACAAGCGUCUACUGCGAAAAAAUGAAAAAAAUUACAUUUAAAUUAAGAAUUAAACAAUAAAGAGAUUUAUAAUUGACGCAAUGAAACUGAGUUUGAAAAACGAAAAAUCGAAAAUACAACCCACCUUGAAAUUACAUAUUUGUUAUAUACCUGUUAUAAUAUUAUUAAACUAAUUUAUGAAUAUUACAUAGCUGCAAAUAAAGCAUUUUAAACUUAACUUCUGGGGACUUUGCGAAGGGUUCUUAAUGUUGAAUUGGUGUAUGUCCUUACGUUCCAAUAAACUUUGAGUAGAUAUGUACAUACAUAUGUACGUGCGUGCAUGCAACGUUCAGAAAUAAUUAAAUCAGAUGCCAUUUAGUAUGUAUGUACAUAUGUGCAAAUGUACCUCUUUUACUGAUCAGGAUGACAAGCUAGGUUUAUAUAGCUAUGUGAAGACUAAUGGCGUGAAGCUGUGCACGCUUGUCUGUCAGCUUUUAAGCUACGCAUAGGCUGUAGACAUGUACAAUAUCUACCAUAGAAAUACUCAGUUGAAGACUGUUUAGGUUGCUGAUUAAUUGCCAUUUUCAACUAAGUUAAAAAAAAUUCUAUUCUCAGAAAGUCUCUAACAAAAAUACUUACUGUUCGAUUUCCGGUUUAAAUGCUUGUGAUCAAUGUGAUUUUGUGAUUUUUCUUGAUUCCUGCUAAUUGCAGAUUAUAGUUCUGUUAAGCGAACGCUUUAGUACAUUUUCCGCUACAAGAGAAUCUGUUUUGUGUAAGACUGUUUUUAUUACAAAAUAUCGAUAAUUGAACAGAUGUUUGCACAAAAGUGACAAAAAGUUCUCUGACCGAGACCAGUUCGUUUGCAUGUUCGCUUGUAAAGACAUUGAAAGCAGGCAGAAGUCUCGACUGGUCGAGCUUCAGGC
RNAcentral lists this long non-coding RNA (6004 nucleotides) under Drosophila guanche. Lineage: Eukaryota; Metazoa; Arthropoda; Insecta; Diptera; Drosophilidae. The record is from RNAcentral.